RNAcentral lists this transfer RNA (76 nucleotides) under Clostridia bacterium. Its description in RNAcentral is "tRNA-Val". It matches the Rfam family "tRNA". Rfam says of the family: Transfer RNA (tRNA) molecules are approximately 80 nucleotides in length. Their secondary structure includes four short double-helical elements and three loops (D, anti-codon, and T loops). Lineage: Bacteria; Bacillati; Bacillota; Clostridia. The record is from RNAcentral.
GGGCGAUUAGCUCAGUGGGGAGAGCGCCUGCCUUACAAGCAGGAUGUCGGCAGUUCAAAUCUGUCAUCGCCCACCA